Molecule: long non-coding RNA, 1064 nt
Organism: Cygnus atratus (black swan)
Lineage: Eukaryota; Metazoa; Chordata; Aves; Anseriformes; Anatidae
Exons: 5
Source: RefSeq, a predicted model, not a curated record
GCUGGCUGAAGAGAUAUCCUAUGUCACAUGGUGUCAUGCUGAAGAAUAAAACUGGGUGAUUCUUUCCUGUUGAAUUGGACGUGUUACAAUGGAGGUCAUGUACCACACAGAUUUGAAGGAUGAGCUUCCUGUGUCCUUGGACUGAGUCAUAGGUCUCAUCUGCACAGAUAAGCGAGGGUAGCCUACAAGCCGUGGUUAUUCUGCAGUAAUUUCCAGGUCAGCUGUGUGUGCCCCACGUUGAAAGGACUCAGCCCAUUUGCCAUCCUUGGUCCCAGCCCAGUGCUGUGCCAAAUCCUACCAGAAGGGCACAAGUUUCUCAACAGAGCAGCCCUUCUGUGGUUUUCUGCAGUGCUUGUGAUGACCUACUACAGUGCUCAAGUAAUUGGUCGGUUUGAAGAAGAGCUUUUCAGACUCCUAAGUCAUCUAUUCUCUGCACAGCUGGUUUCUGAGACAGCUCUUGCCUGCUCAGCAUGAAUUAACACAUGAAAGGAUUUCUUUUUCCAAAUCUACCUGAAAGAUAGGAAGUCUAGAUUGUAAUUGGAAGAUGGAAAAAAUCAGCUUUCAUCUCAAGUACCAUACAAUCAGAAGAGAGGCAACUGGGACAACAACCUUAAGAAUGAGCUCUCACACCUUCCUCUACAAAGGAAGCAGGAAGGACUGAACUCCACAAGAGAUGCAACAUAACCUUAAUGACUGCUGUUCAGAAGGCUUGCCAAACAAUACCAGAACAAGCAUGGACCGAUGAGGAGGUUGCUCAACACUUUGCAGUUCUUAAGGUCAACAGAGGUGGUUAAGGAGGGCUAAGAACAUUGUUGGCUUCCAAUUGCUUCUGUUGGUUUCCAAUUGCUUAUGUGCUCUCAUGCCAGGGAAUGAAAAGAUGAUGGAGAAGACAUGGGAAGAAAUAAAAUAAAGGCAUGGAGACACAUGGUGCCAAGAGAUUUUAAAGGGAUGGAUGAGACUUCACAUCAGGGUAUUUUGGGAAGGUAAGAGGAAUGACAGUCUGAAGGAUCAGGUAGUGACAUUUAAGACGUUCCUGAAAAAUUAUUUGUCUCUGUUCUCGACUU